This 1143-nucleotide ribosomal RNA is filed under the name Nanosynbacter sp. RNAcentral's name for it is "Candidatus Nanosynbacter sp. partial 23S ribosomal RNA". It matches the Rfam family "Bacterial large subunit ribosomal RNA", at positions 1652 to 2776 of the family's 2925-position model. Lineage: Bacteria; Bacillati; Minisyncoccota; Nanosynbacteria; Nanosynbacterales; Nanosynbacteraceae. The record is from RNAcentral.
AACCGACACAGGUGAUUAGGUAGAGAAUACUAAGGCGAUCGAGAGAAUCAUGGUUAAGGAACUCGGCAAAAUGCCCCCGUAACUUCGGGAGAAGGGGGACCUUGAGCGUGAUGGGCACUUGCUGCCUGGAGCGUGUAUGGGUCGCAGAGACCAGGGGGAAGCGACUGUUUAUCAAAAACACAGGUCCGUGCGAAGUCGUAAGACGAGGUAUACGGACUGACUCCUGCCCGGUGCUGGAAGGUUAAGAGGAUUGGUUAGCCUUUUGGGCGAAGCUGAGAAUUUAAGCCCCAGUAAACGGCGGUGGUAACUAUAACCAUCCUAAGGUAGCGAAAUUCCUUGUCGGGUAAGUUCCGACCUGCACGAAUGGAGUAACGACUUCCCUACUGUCUCAACCAUGAACUCGGCGAAAUUGCAGUACGAGUAAAGAUGCUCGUUUCGCGCAGCAGGACGGAAAGACCCCGUGACCUUUACUAUAGUUUGGUAUUGGUGUUUGGUUUGGCUUGUGUAGGAUAGGUGGGAGACUGUGAAGCAUGGACGCUAGUUUGUGUGGAGUCGUUGUUGAAAUACCACUCUGGUCAAUCUGGAUGUCUAACUUCGGGCCAUGAUCUGGUUCAGGGACAGUGCCUGAUGGGUAGUUUAACUGGGGCGGUUGCCUCCUAAAGUGUAACGGAGGCGCCCAAAGGUUCCCUCAGCCUGGUUGGCAAUCAGGUGUUGAGUGUAAGUGCACAAGGGAGCUUGACUGUGAGACUGGCAGGUCGAGCAGGGACGAAAGUCGGGACUAGUGAUCCGGCGGUACGUUGUGGAACGGCCGUCGCUCAACGGAUAAAAGGUACCUCGGGGAUAACAGGCUGAUCUUGCCCAAGAGUCCAUAUCGACGGCAUGGUUUGGCACCUCGAUGUCGGCUCGUCGCAUCCUGGGGCUGGAGUCGGUCCCAAGGGUUGGGCUGUUCGCCCAUUAAAGCGGUACGCGAGCUGGGUUCAGAACGUCGUGAGACAGUUCGGUCCCUAUCUGCCGUGGGCGUAAGAAGAUUGAGGAGAGUUGACCCUAGUACGAGAGGACCGGGUCGAACCAACCACUGGUGUACGAGUUGUCCUGCCAAGGGCACCGCUCGGUAGCUAUGUUGGGAUGUGAUAACUGCUGAAA